CCUACGGGUGGCAGCAGUGAGGAAUAUUGGUCAAUGGACGAGAGUCUGAACCAGCCAAGUAGCGUGAAGGAUGAAUGCCCUAUGGGUUGUAAACUUCUUUUAUAAAGGAAUAAAACGAGGCACGUGUGCCCUUUUGCAUGUACUUUAUGAAUAAGGAUCGGCUAACUCCGUGCCAGCAGCCGCGGUAAUACGGAGGAUCCGAGCGUUAUCCGGAUUUAUUGGGUUUAAAGGGAGCGUAGAUGGGUUGUUAAGUCAGUUGUGAAAGUCUGCGGCUCAACCGUAAAAUUGCAAUUGAUACUGGCAGUCUUGAGUACAGUUGAGGUAGGCGGAAUUCGUGGUGUAGCGGUGAAAUGCUUAGAUAUCACGAAGAACCCCGAUUGCGAAGGCAGCUUACUAAACUGUGACUGACAUUGAUGCUCGAAAGUGUGGGUAUCAAACAGGAUUAGAUACCCCGGUAGUC
Molecule: ribosomal RNA, 460 nt
Filed under: uncultured bacterium
Lineage: Bacteria
Description: partial 16S ribosomal RNA
Rfam family: Bacterial small subunit ribosomal RNA
Source: RNAcentral